UACAGAGGGGGCAAGCGUUAUUCGGAAUUAUUGGGCGUAAAGGGCGCGUAGGCGGCCUGGCAAGUGACGGGUGAAAGCCCUCGGCUCAACCGAGGAACUGCCUGUCAUACUGCCGGGCUUGAGUCCGGGAGAGGUGAGUGGAAUUCCCAGUGUAGCGGUGAAAUGCGUAGAUAUUGGGAGGAACACCAGUGGCGAAGGCGGUGCUCUGGGCCGGAACUGACGCUGAGGAGCGAAAGCGUGGGGAGCAAACAGG
Molecule: ribosomal RNA, 253 nt
Filed under: uncultured bacterium
Lineage: Bacteria
Description: partial 16S ribosomal RNA
Rfam family: Bacterial small subunit ribosomal RNA
Source: RNAcentral